This 446-nucleotide ribosomal RNA is filed under the name uncultured bacterium. Its description in RNAcentral is "partial 16S ribosomal RNA". It matches the Rfam family "Bacterial small subunit ribosomal RNA", at positions 330 to 793 of the family's 1533-position model. The record is from RNAcentral.
CCCAGACUCCUACGGGAGGCAGCAGUGGGGAAUAUUGCACAAUGGGGGAAACCCUGAUGCAGCGACGCCGCGUGAGCGAAGAAGUACCUCGGUAUGUAAAGCUCUAUCAGCAGGGAAGAAGAUGACGGUACCUGACCAAGAAGCUCCGGCUAAAUACGUGCCAGCAGCCGCGGUAAUACGUAUGGAGCAAGCGUUAUCCGGAUUCACUGGGUGUAAAGGGAGCGUAGACGGCGACGCAAGUCUGGAGUGAAAGCCCGGGGCCCAACCCCGGGACUGCUCUGGAAACUGCGGCGCUGGAGUACGGGAGGGGCAGGCGGAAUUCCUGGUGUAGCGGUGAAAUGCGUAGAUAUCAGGAGGAACACCGGUGGCGAAGGCGGCCUGCUGGACUGCGACUGACGUUGAGGCCCGAAAGCGUGGGGAGCAAACAGGAUUAGAUACCCGAGUAU